Molecule: ribosomal RNA, 906 nt
Filed under: uncultured bacterium
Lineage: Bacteria
Description: bacterial SSU rRNA
Rfam family: Bacterial small subunit ribosomal RNA
Source: RNAcentral
GAGUUUGAUCCUGGCUCAGGACGAACGCUGGCGGCGUGCCUAAUACAUGCAAGUUGAACGAUGAUUUCUGGUACUUGUAUCAGAAUGAAGAGUAGCGAACGGGUGAGUAACGCGUGGGUAACCUACCUCUUAGCGGGGGACAACUAUUGGAAACGAUAGCUAAUACCGCAUAACAAUAUUAAACACAUGUUUAACAUUUGAAAGUACCAAUUGGUACACUAGGAGAUGGACCCGCGUUGUAUUAGCUAGUUGGUAGUGUAAUGGACUACCAAGGCGAUGAUACAUAGCCGACCUGAGAGGGUGAUCGGCCACAUUGGGACUGAGACACGGCCCAAACUCCUACGGGAGGCAGCAGUAGGGAAUCUUCGGCAAUGGACGAAAGUCUGACCGAGCAACGCCGCGUGAGUGAAGAAGGUUUUCGGAUCGUAAAACUCUGUUGUUAGAGAAGAACGUUGUGUAGAGUGGAAAAUUACACAAGUGACGGUAUCUAACCAGAAAGGGACGGCUAACUACGUGCCAGCAGCCGCGGUAAUACGUAGGUCCCGAGCGUUGUCCGGAUUUAUUGGGCGUAAAGCGAGCGCAGGUGGUUUAAUAAGUCUGAUGUAAAAGGCAGUGGCUCAACCAUUGUGAGCAUUGGAAACUGUUAGACUUGAGUGCAGUAGAGGAGAGUGGAAUUCCAUGUGUAGCGGUGAAAUGCGUAGAUAUAUGGAGGAACACCGGUGGCGAAAGCGGCUCUCUGGACUGUAACUGACACUGAGGCUCGAAAGCGUGGGUAGCAAACAGGAUUAGAUACCCUGGUAGUCCACGCCGUAAACGAUGAGUGCUAGUUGUUUGGGGCUAUCCAGCCCUAAGUGACGCAGCAAACGCAUUAAGCACUCCGCCUGGGGAGUACGACCGCAAGGUUGA